This 449-nucleotide ribosomal RNA is filed under the name uncultured bacterium. Its description in RNAcentral is "partial 16S ribosomal RNA". It matches the Rfam family "Bacterial small subunit ribosomal RNA", at positions 29 to 523 of the family's 1533-position model. The record is from RNAcentral.
AACGAACGCUGGCGGCAGGCUUAACACAUGCAAGUCGAACGAGAUCUUCGGAUCUAGUGGCAGACGGGUGAGGAACACGUGGGAACAUCCCUUUCAGUUCGGAAUAACGUUGGGAAACUAACGCUAAUACCGGAUAUGUCCUUCGGGAGAAAGAUUUAUCGCUGAAAGAUUGGCCCGCGUCUGAUUAGCUAGUUGGUGAGGUAGUGGCUCACCAAGGCUACGAUCAGUAGCUGAUCUGAGAGGAUGAUCAGCCACAUUGGGACUGAGACACGGCCCAAACUCCUACGGGAGGCAACAGUGGGGAAUAUUGGACAAUGGGCGCAAGCCUGAUCCAGCCAUGCCGCGUGAGUGAUGAAGGCCUUCGGGUUGUAAAGCUCUUUUAUCCGGGAAGAUAAUGACUGUACCGGAAGAAUAAGCCCCGGCAAACUUCGUGCCAGCAGCCGCAGUAA